This 211-nucleotide ribosomal RNA is filed under the name uncultured bacterium. RNAcentral describes it as "partial 16S ribosomal RNA". It matches the Rfam family "Bacterial small subunit ribosomal RNA", at positions 124 to 334 of the family's 1533-position model. The record is from RNAcentral.
ACCUACCUUUCAGUGAGGAAUACCGGCGAGAAAUCGCCGACAAGACCGCAUAGCCUCAGUGCAAGCUGAGGAAAGCUGCCUCGAAAGAGGGAGCGCCACACGAGGAGCCUGCGCCCGAUUAGCCUGUUGGGGGGGUAAUGGCCUCCCAAAGCUGCGAUCGGUCGCUGGUCUGAGAGGACGAUCAGCCACACUGGGAUUGAGAACGGCCCAG